UACGUAGGGGGCGAGCGUUGUCCGGAAUCAUUGGGCGUAAAGCGCGUGUAGGCGGUCCGGUAAGUCCGCUGUGAAAGUCGGGGGCUCAACCCUCGGAUGCCGGUAGAUACUGUCGGGCUUGAGUACGGAAGAGGCGAGUGGAAUUCCUGGUGUAGCGGUGAAAUGCGCAGAUAUCAGGAGGAACACCAAUUGCGAAGGCAGCUCGCUGGGACGUUACUGACGCUGAGACGCGAAAGCGUGGGGAGCAAACAGG
RNAcentral lists this ribosomal RNA (253 nucleotides) under uncultured bacterium. RNAcentral describes it as "partial 16S ribosomal RNA". It matches the Rfam family "Bacterial small subunit ribosomal RNA", at positions 524 to 776 of the family's 1533-position model. The record is from RNAcentral.